RNAcentral lists this ribosomal RNA (493 nucleotides) under uncultured bacterium. RNAcentral's name for it is "partial 16S ribosomal RNA". It matches the Rfam family "Bacterial small subunit ribosomal RNA", at positions 27 to 507 of the family's 1533-position model. The record is from RNAcentral.
GAGUGAACGCUGGCGGUAGGCCUAACACAUGCAAGUCGAACGGCAGCACAGUAAGAGCUUGCUCUUACGGGUGGCGAGUGGCGGACGGGUGAGGAAUACAUCGGAAUCUACUUUUUCGUGGGGGAUAACGUAGGGAAACUUACGCUAAUACCGCAUACGACCUACGGGUGAAAGCAGGGGAUCUUCGGACCUUGCGCGAUUGAAUGAGCCGAUGUCGGAUUAGCUAGUUGGCGGGGUAAAGGCCCACCAAGGCGACGAUCCGUAGCUGGUCUGAGAGGAUGAUCAGCCACACUGGAACUGAGACACGGUCCAGACUCCUACGGGAGGCAGCAGUGGGGAAUAUUGGACAAUGGGCGCAAGCCUGAUCCAGCCAUACCGCGUGGGUGAAGAAGGCCUUCGGGUUGUAAAGCCCUUUUGUUGGGAAAGAAAAGCAGCAGGUUAAUACCCCGCUGUUCUGACCGUACCCAAAGAAUAAGCACCGGCUAACUUCGUG